This 1400-nucleotide ribosomal RNA is filed under the name uncultured bacterium. Its description in RNAcentral is "bacterial SSU rRNA". It matches the Rfam family "Bacterial small subunit ribosomal RNA". The record is from RNAcentral.
AGAGUUUGAUCCUGGCUCAGGAUGAACGCUAGCGGCAGGCUUAACACAUGCAAGUCGAGGGGCAUCGGGAGGGAAGCUUGCUUUCCUUGCCGGCGACCGGCGCACGGGUGAGUAACACGUAUGCAACCUGCCCUCUUCAGGGGGACAACCUUCCGAAAGGGAGGCUAAUCCCGCGUAUAUCGGUUUCGGGCAUCCGAGAUCGAGGAAAGAUUCAUCGGAAGAGGAUGGGCAUGCGGCGCAUUAGCUAGACGGCGGGGUAACGGCCCACCGUGGCGACGAUGCGUAGGGGUUCUGAGAGGAAGGUCCCCCACACUGGUACUGAGACACGGACCAGACUCCUACGGGAGGCAGCAGUGAGGAAUAUUGGUCAAUGGGAGAGAUCCUGAACCAGCCAAGCCGCGUGAGGGAAGACGGCCCUAUGGGUUGUAAACCUCUUUUGUCGGAGAACAAAACCCGGGACGUGUCCCGGACUGCGUGUAUCCGAAGAAAAAGCAUCGGCUAACUCCGUGCCAGCAGCCGCGGUAAUACGGAGGAUGCGAGCGUUAUCCGGAUUUAUUGGGUUUAAAGGGUGCGUAGGCGGUCCGUUAAGUCAGCGGUAAAAUUGCGGGGCUCAACCCCGUCGAGCCGUUGAAACUGGCAGACUUGAGUUGGCGAGAAGUACGCGGAAUGCGCGGUGUAGCGGUGAAAUGCAUAGAUAUCGCGCAGAACUCCGAUUGCGAAGGCAGCGUACCGGCGCCAGACUGACGCUGAGGCACGAAAGCGUGGGGAUCGAACAGGAUUAGAUACCCUGGUAGUCCACGCAGUAAACGAUGAAUGCUGGUUGUCCGGGUCGAAUGAGACCUGGGCGGCGAAGCGAAAGCGAUAAGCAUUCCACCUGGGGAGUACGCCGGCAACGGUGAAACUCAAAGGAAUUGACGGGGGCCCGCACAAGCGGAGGAACAUGUGGUUUAAUUCGAUGAUACGCGAGGAACCUUACCCGGGCUCAAACGGGAGUGGAAUGGACCAGAGACGGUUCAGCCUACGGGCCGCUUCCGAGGUGCUGCAUGGUUGUCGUCAGCUCGUGCCGUGAGGUGUCGGCUUAAGUGCCAUAACGAGCGCAACCCCCGCCGGCAGUUGCUAACGGGCAAUGCCGAGGACUCUGCCGGGACUGCCGCCGCAAGGCGUGAGGAAGGCGGGGACGACGUCAAAUCAGCACGGCCCUUACGUCCGGGGCGACACACGUGUUACAAUGGGCGGUACAGCGGGAAGCCAGGCGGCGACGCCGAGCGGAACCCGAAAGCCGUUCUCAGUUCGGAUCGGAGUCUGCAACCCGACUCCGUGAAGCUGGAUUCGCUAGUAAUCGCGCAUCAGCCAUGGCGCGGUGAAUACGUUCCCGGGCCUUGCACUCACCGCCCGUCAAG